AAAAUUUUGGGGGCUUAAAGCUCAUCCAAGCUAUGGGUUGCUUUACAACCUAUAGGGUUGCCAUAAUUCCCAAAAAUAGGAAAAGAAAUUGUUUAGGCAAAUAAAAUAUUGCAAAUAAAUCCCAGAAACAUUUUGGGAAGAUAAAAAGGUUUUGGAGUGGUUGGUGGCAAGAAAUCAAGGGUUGAGGAUCCCUCUUGGUUGAAGUGGUUUGAAAAACCCAUCAACUUGCCCCUGAAACUCUAAAAUAUUUUGAAAAGAAAAAGUUUGAAAAAUCAGGGUGUUACACAGUGCCUGCACUUGCAUAUCCUCCCAUGUAUCGUCGUCAACCUUGGCCGGCUUCGUCUCCUGCAAACCCUUCAAGAUUCUCUGUUGCGCCAGAAGAUCCUUGACUCUUGUCUACCAUAAACCGAAGUUACUCGUGCCAUCGAAUUUCUCCACCUCAAAUUUGAUGAACCCGGCGUCAUGCCGAGCCGCAAUCUAACCGACAUGUUGCCGUCGGUCUGACCGCCCUUACUUGCCUCUGCGACUUCCUCACGAAAAAGAUCACCGAUCCCAAAUUCCUCGUCUGAAGCCACGCUGCAAUAUGCAAUCUAUCAAGAAAUCUGACCCACACCGUCUUUGUCCGUCCUUCAGAAAAUUUGCGUGAAGCCUGUCGCCGUAGCCGAAUCGCUUCACCCUUUUUUUCCUUGAACUUGCAGACAAUGUUUCGUUGUGCUUGUUCGCCUCGUUGCCCCAGCUUUUAUUACAGCUGAAUCACCUGGCUUCCGGCCGCUGACCGAAACCGAGUCCUAAUUGUCCACG
RNAcentral lists this long non-coding RNA (801 nucleotides) under Hordeum vulgare. RNAcentral's name for it is "long non-coding RNA (HVUL_LNC005735)". The record is from RNAcentral. Lineage: Eukaryota; Viridiplantae; Streptophyta; Magnoliopsida; Poales; Poaceae.